GGCCCAAAUUUGAAAUAGAGUGGAUUAGGAGGGUCAUCCGACCCUACUAAACUACACUACUUCGAGUUUGUGAUC
Molecule: microRNA precursor, 75 nt
Filed under: Haemonchus placei
Lineage: Eukaryota; Metazoa; Nematoda; Chromadorea; Rhabditida; Trichostrongylidae
Description: mir-5928 microRNA precursor family
Rfam family: mir-5928 microRNA precursor family
Source: Rfam by way of RNAcentral